Molecule: small nucleolar RNA, 119 nt
Organism: Erinaceus europaeus (western European hedgehog)
Lineage: Eukaryota; Metazoa; Chordata; Mammalia; Eulipotyphla; Erinaceidae
Source: Ensembl
AGGUCAUUACCAAGGCUUUUAGAAUGUGGUUUCUCAUUUGCUGUGGACAUGACCUUAAAAAAUGCCCACUAGGUUUGUUCUCUGCUACAUUGGUAGCAUUCAGCCUUGUGGGAACAUCU